UGGGGAAUAUUGGACAAUGGGCGCAAGCCUGAUCCAGCAACGCCGCGUGGAGGAUGAAGGUCUUCGGAUCGUAAACUCCUGUCAGACGGGACGAAGGUAGUGGGGUGAAUAAUCCCGCUGCUUGACGGUACUGUCAGAGGAAGCCCCGGCUAACUCCGUGCCAGCAGCCGCGGUAAUACGGAGGGGGCGAGCGUUAUUCGGAAUUAUUGGGCGUAAAGGGCGCGUAGGCGGCUUUACAAGUCAAAGGUGAAAUCCCUCGGCUCAACUGAGGAACUGCCUUUGAAACUGUAAGGCUUGAGGCCGGGAGGGGGUAGCGGAAUUCCCAGUGUAGCGGUGAAAUGCGUAGAUACUGGGAGGAACACCAGUGGCGAAGGCGGCUACCUGGACCGGUACUGACGCUGAGGCGCGAAAGCGUGGGUAGCAAACAGGAUUAGAUACCCCCGUAGUCC
This 449-nucleotide ribosomal RNA is filed under the name uncultured bacterium. Its description in RNAcentral is "bacterial SSU rRNA". It matches the Rfam family "Bacterial small subunit ribosomal RNA", at positions 355 to 796 of the family's 1533-position model. The record is from RNAcentral.